This 405-nucleotide ribosomal RNA is filed under the name uncultured bacterium. RNAcentral's name for it is "bacterial SSU rRNA". It matches the Rfam family "Bacterial small subunit ribosomal RNA", at positions 355 to 776 of the family's 1533-position model. The record is from RNAcentral.
UGGGGAAUAUUGCACAAUGGGGGAAACCCUGAUGCAGCGACGCCGCGUGAGUGAAGAAGUAAUUCGUUACGUAAAGCUCUAUCAGCAGGGAAGAAAGAAGACGGUACCUGAAUAAGAAGCCCCGGCUAACUACGUGCCAGCAGCCGCGGUAAUACGUAGGGGGCAAGCGUUAUCCGGAUUUACUGGGUGUAAAGGGAGCGUAGACGGCAUGAAAAGUCUGAAGUGAAAGCCCGCGGCUCAACCGCGGAACUGCUUUGGAAACUUUUAAGCUAGAGUACCGGAGAGGUAAGCGGAAUUCCUAGUGUAGCGGUGAAAUGCGUAGAUAUUAGGAGGAACACCAGUGGCGAAGGCGGCUUACUGGACGGUAACUGACGUUGAGGCUCGAAAGCGUGGGGAGCAAACAGG